CGGGCACAGAACAACUGGUUUGACAUCUCAUAUCGAGCAGUUCGACUUUGUUCCCCAUAUAACUCCUUAAGAUUAAGGAGAAUAGAGGAAACAUUCAUGUCCUCAUGCUACUUCUGAAGCUCGUUGCUAAUGGAGGCAAGCAUGAUGCAUUUGACAGUCACACUGUCUUCUUUCCACAUCUUAUAUGUGACCCUUUCCUCUUCGAAAGUAUCUUUCUCAAGAGAAUCUGGAGUAGGUG
RNAcentral lists this long non-coding RNA (238 nucleotides) under Elaeis guineensis (African oil palm). Its description in RNAcentral is "long non-coding RNA (EGUI_LNC081672)". Lineage: Eukaryota; Viridiplantae; Streptophyta; Magnoliopsida; Arecales; Arecaceae. The record is from RNAcentral.